AAUAAAUUACAAAAAUCACAAUAAUAUACAAUUUAAGUAACCUUUAUAUAAUAAACAAAGUUUGCAUGGUACUAAACAAGUUUCUAUGGUAACUAAAAAUACAAGAAUAUAUACAGCGCCACCGGAAGUCACAAUACGUAAACAACAUGGCAAAAAGUUAUGUGUGUCACCGGCGGACCAAAAUGAUAAAUAUCAAGGAUAGUGAGCAUUAACAUCUACAAAACAUUGAAGACGUUGACUACAAAUACUAAAAGGAAUUACAAGAAACGUGUGAAAACAGUUGCCAACACGUAAAAAUAGUGUUUUUAUUGAACAAUCGUCCAAAGUGACACAUGGGUUUUACUGCGCAUGUCAAUACAUUUCAUUCAUAAAAUUCAAGCACAGGUGCGUGGAAUUUACUACGAUUUACUACAGUUUCUACAAUUGGAUCUUCACAAAAAUACAAGACAUACAGUUGGAUUAUUCAGUGGAUUAUUACUAUGAACUGGUAAAUUAUUACAUGAACUUCAACUGGUUUAUCAAAUAUAUGCAAAUGAC
Molecule: long non-coding RNA, 537 nt
Filed under: Mytilus galloprovincialis (Mediterranean mussel)
Lineage: Eukaryota; Metazoa; Mollusca; Bivalvia; Mytilida; Mytilidae
Source: RNAcentral